This 430-nucleotide ribosomal RNA is filed under the name Babesia bigemina. Its description in RNAcentral is "partial small subunit ribosomal RNA". It matches the Rfam family "Eukaryotic small subunit ribosomal RNA", at positions 486 to 984 of the family's 1831-position model. Lineage: Eukaryota; Apicomplexa; Aconoidasida; Piroplasmida; Babesiidae. The record is from RNAcentral.
CAGGGCUUUCGUCUUGUAAUUGGAAUGAUGGUGAUGUACAACCUCACCAAAGUACCAAUUGGAGGGCAAGUCUGGUGCCAGCAGCCGCGGUAAUUCCAGCUCCAAUAGCGUAUAUUAAACUUGUUGCAGUUAAAAAGCUCGUAGUUGUAUUUCAGCCUCGCGUUUUUUCCCUGGUUUUGGGUCUUUUCGCUGGCUUUUUUUUUACUUUGAGAAAAUUAGAGUGUUUCAAGCAGACUUUUGUCUUGAAUACUUCAGCAUGGAAUAAUAGAGUAGGACCUUGGUUCUAUUUUGUUGGUUUUGAGCCUUGGUAAUGGUUAAUAGGAACGGUUGGGGGCAUUCGUAUUUAACUGUCAGAGGUGAAAUUCUUAGAUUUGUUAAAGACGAACCACUGCGAAAGCAUUUGCCAAGGACGUUUUCAUUAAUCAAGAAC